This 459-nucleotide ribosomal RNA is filed under the name uncultured bacterium. Its description in RNAcentral is "partial 16S ribosomal RNA". It matches the Rfam family "Bacterial small subunit ribosomal RNA", at positions 338 to 795 of the family's 1533-position model. The record is from RNAcentral.
CCUACGGGUGGCAGCAGUGAGGAAUAUUGGUCAAUGGGCGGGAGCCUGAACCAGCCAAGUCGCGUGAGGGACGACGGUCCUAUGGAUUGUAAACCUCUUUUGUCGGGGAACAAAGGCGUCCACGGGUGGGCGGAUGAGUGUACCCGAAGAAAAAGCAUCGGCUAACUCCGUGCCAGCAGCCGCGGUAAUACGGAGGAUGCGAGCGUUAUCCGGAUUUAUUGGGUUUAAAGGGUGCGUAGGCGGACAGUCAAGUCAGCGGUAAAAAUGCGGUGCUCAACGCCGUACAGCCGUUGAAACUGGCAGUCUUGAGUGGGCGAGAAGUAUGCGGAAUGCGUGGUGUAGCGGUGAAAUGCAUAGAUAUCACGCAGAACCCCGAUUGCGAAGGCAGCUUACUAAACUGUGACUGACAUUGAUGCUCGAAAGUGUGGGUAUCAAACAGGAUUAGAUACCCGAGUAGUC